Molecule: ribosomal RNA, 253 nt
Filed under: uncultured bacterium
Lineage: Bacteria
Description: partial 16S ribosomal RNA
Rfam family: Bacterial small subunit ribosomal RNA
Source: RNAcentral
GACGGAGGAUGCAAGCGUUAUCCGGAAUGAUUGGGCGUAAAGCGUCCGCAGGUGGCAGUUCAAGUCUGCUGUCAAAGACCGGGGCUUAACUUCGGAAAGGCAGUUGAAACUGAACAGCUAGAGUAUGGUAGGGGCAGAGGGAAUUCCUGGUGUAGCGGUGAAAUGCGUAGAGAUCAGGAAGAACAUCGGUGGCGAAGGCGCUCUGCUGGACCAUAACUGACACUCAGGGACGAAAGCUAGGGGAGCGAAUGGG